UAAAUUUAUUAAUAUUAUUAUAUGGACAAAGUCCAGUUACACACAACCAAGACAAAGGCCCAAUCGAUAAAUUUAACAGGGCCACCAAAAAACAUACAACUAGAAACUAAAUGGGCUAAGCCCACCAAACCAAAGUCUAAGUCGAACAUAUCGACACAUCGCCUACGUGUGUUUAACCUCACAGCGAGGAUAACACGUGCCACCAAACCGCUUUACCUUCUCCAACACCGGAGAACCACGAUUCACAUCAUCGGAAUCACAUCGGAGACUGCCUCCAUCUUCCACGGUCGUGGUCUUUUCAAAGGAGAGCAUCCAUCGAUCACAUCGAAAUCUCAUCCAGAGUCACCAACCGCUUGAUUACGAACACCCAGAACCUCCAUCUCGUUUUCUUCAUCGCUUUGUCUUCAACGUCAGAGAGUUUCAUCGAUCUAUUCGAGAACUCAUCCAACAGACCAAAGCCGACAAACAGAGGAAACCACAAACCAAAGUAAAAAUCACACCCGAUUCAAAUCGGGACCAAACCCCAACUGAUCAAAAGCCGGCAACGAGGAGCUUUAACAGCCUCCUCCCUCCAGAGUCAUAAGCCGGAGACGACGGAGCUGAGAAAGCCUCCACCUCCCGGAAUCAAAGGGUCAAACUGAUGAAAGGAAAUAAGUUUCCUUUCUUUCCAAAACACAUGCAGAAGAAAAUAAAAAACACAAAGCCGGACCGACGGUGGCUAGGUUAGCCGAGCCCGCCGGCCGGAAACGCAAGUCUCACAAACGGAGUUCUAGUACAUAAGGUUAAAAAAAAUAUAUAUAUAAAAAAAAAAUAUCUUUAGUCAAUACGUAGUAUUAGUUUCCGUAAUCAAACGAGGGUUGUGACAACUGACAACUGAUGCACACAAAUUAUAGAGUAUGAAUGGGGAAUGAAUAAAAAGUGGAGGAUCUGUCUCAACUCUCAAGU
This 945-nucleotide long non-coding RNA is filed under the name Brassica rapa (field mustard). Its description in RNAcentral is "long non-coding RNA (BRAP_LNC005854)". Lineage: Eukaryota; Viridiplantae; Streptophyta; Magnoliopsida; Brassicales; Brassicaceae. The record is from RNAcentral.